UGAGUGUGGGAAUCCUUUGUCAUAGGGUAAAAGUUGCAUACCCCUGGGCUGUAGGCUGCACACCUUGGGUCAAAUAUCAGGUUGUUUUGCCUAUUGAUGGCAGCUGUGGGCAUACAAGCACAACAGACACCUUCUAGAAAUGACCUGAAUGCCUUGGUAACAUUAUUCGUUUGAGUGUCGCUCCUCUUUUUGAAGAGGUUGACGCUGUCUUCAAUGACACACAAAUCAUAAACCUGACA
Molecule: long non-coding RNA, 239 nt
Organism: Oncorhynchus kisutch (coho salmon)
Lineage: Eukaryota; Metazoa; Chordata; Actinopteri; Salmoniformes; Salmonidae
Exons: 4
Source: RefSeq, a predicted model, not a curated record